RNAcentral lists this ribosomal RNA (459 nucleotides) under uncultured bacterium. Its description in RNAcentral is "partial 16S ribosomal RNA". It matches the Rfam family "Bacterial small subunit ribosomal RNA", at positions 338 to 795 of the family's 1533-position model. The record is from RNAcentral.
CCUACGGGUGGCAGCAGUGAGGAAUAUUGGUCAAUGGGCGGAAGCCUGAACCAGCCAAGUAGCGUGCAGGAUGAAGGCCCUACGGGUCGUCAACCGCUUUUACACGGGGAUAACACCCUCCACGUGUGCAGGUCUGCAGGUACCGUGCGAAUAAGGGCCGGCUAAUUCCGUGCCAGCAGCCGCGGUAAUACGGAGGGCCCGAGCGUUAUCCGGAUUCAUUGGGAUUAAAGGGAGCGUAGGCGGGCGUUAAAGUCAGCGGUAAAAUCGCGCGGCUCAACCGCACCCUGCAGUUGAAACUGGAAGCCUUGAGUUCACAAGAGGCAGGCGGAAUUCGUGGUGUAGCGGUGAAAUGCUUAGAUAUCACGAGGAACCCCGAUUGCGAAGGCAGCCUGCCGGGGUGCGACUGACGCUGAGGCUCGAAGGUGCGGGUAUCAAACAGGAUUAGAUACCCUUGUAGUC